GAUGAACGCUGGCGGCGUGCCUAAUACAUGCAAGUCGAGCGAACGGACGAGAAGCUUGCUUCUCUGAUGUUAGCGGCGGACGGGUGAGUAACACGUGGAUAACCUACCUAUAAGACUGGGAUAACUUCGGGAAACCGGAGCUACUACCGGCUAAUAUUUUGAACCGCAUGGUUCAAAAGUGAAAGACGGUCUUGCUGUCACUUAUAGCUGGAUCCGCGCUGCAUUAGCUAGUUGGUAAGGUAACGGCUUACCAAGGCAACGAUGCAUAGCCGACCUGAGAGGAUGAUCGGCCACACUGGAACUGAGACACGGUCCAGACUCCUACGGGAGGCAGCAGUAGGGAAUCUUCCGCAAUGGGCGAAGGCCUGACGGAGCAACGCCGCGUGAGUGAUGAAGGUCUUCGGAUCGUAAAACUCUGUUAUUAGGGAAGAACAUAUGUGUAAGUAACUGUGCACAUCUUGACGGUACCUAAUCAGAAAGCCACGGCUAACUACGUG
This 497-nucleotide ribosomal RNA is filed under the name uncultured bacterium. RNAcentral's name for it is "partial 16S ribosomal RNA". It matches the Rfam family "Bacterial small subunit ribosomal RNA", at positions 28 to 507 of the family's 1533-position model. The record is from RNAcentral.